AGUGAACGCUGGCGGCGUGCUUAACACAUGCAAGUCGAACGAGAACGGAUUAUAGCUUGCUAUAAUUGUCAGCUAAGUGGCGCACGGGUGAGUAAUGUAUAGGUAAUAUGCCUCUUACUAAGGGAUAACAAAUGGAAACGUUUGCUAAUACCUUAUACUCCUUAUUAACAUAAGUUAAUAAGGGAAAGAUUUAUUGGUAAGGGACUAGCCUGUAUUGUAUCAGUUAGUUGGUGGGGUAAUGGCUUACCAAGACUAUGACACAUAACUGGUUUGAGAGGAUGAUCAGUCACACUGGAACUGAGACACGGUCCAGACUCCUACGGGAGGCAGCAGUGGGGAAUAUUGCACAAUGGACGAAAGUCUGAUGCAGCAACGCCGCGUGGAGGAUGACACAUUUCGGUGCGUAAACUCCUUUUAUAUGAGAAGAUAAUGACGGUAUUAUAUGAAUAAGCACCGGCUAACUCCGUGCCAGCCGCCGCCGUAA
RNAcentral lists this ribosomal RNA (484 nucleotides) under uncultured bacterium. Its description in RNAcentral is "partial 16S ribosomal RNA". It matches the Rfam family "Bacterial small subunit ribosomal RNA", at positions 29 to 523 of the family's 1533-position model. The record is from RNAcentral.